CCUACGGGAGGCAGCAGUGGGGAAUUUUUCGCAAUGGGGGCAACCCUGACGAAGCAAUGCCGCGUGGAUGAAGAAGGCCUUCGGGUUGUAAAGUCCUUUCGUGGGGGACGAAAAGGCGGAUCCGAAUACGGUCUGCUAUUGACGUGAACCCAAGAAGAAGCACCGGCUAACUCCGUGCCAGCGGCCGCGGUAAUACGGAGGGUGCGAGCGUUAAUCGGAAUUACUGGGCGUAAAGGGCGCGUAGGCGGUGGGUUACGUCUGCCGCGAAAUCCCCGGGCUCAACCUGGGAAUGGCGGUGGAAACGGGCUGACUGGAGUAUGGGAGAGGGUGAUGGAAUUCCAGGUGUAGCGGUGAAAUGCGUAGAGAUCUGGAGGAACACCAGUGGCGAAGGCGGUCACCUGGCCCAAUACUGACGCUGAGGCGCGAAAGCGUGGGGAGCAAACAGGAUUAGAUACCCUGGUAGUCACGCCCUAAACGAUGGAUACUGGAUGUUUGGCGCCUUAGGUGCUGAGUGUCGUAGCUAACGCGAUAAGUAUCCCGCCUGGGAAGUACGGCCGCAAGGUUAAAACUCAAAGGAAUUUGACGG
This 586-nucleotide ribosomal RNA is filed under the name uncultured bacterium. Its description in RNAcentral is "bacterial SSU rRNA". It matches the Rfam family "Bacterial small subunit ribosomal RNA", at positions 338 to 916 of the family's 1533-position model. The record is from RNAcentral.